GAUGAACGCUAGCGGCAGGCCUAAUACAUGCAAGACGAACGGUAAGUUGAGUAGCAAUACUUAGCCAAGAGUGUCGUACGGGUGCGUAACACGUAUGCAACCUACCCUAUACAGGAGGAUAGCCUAGGGAAACCUGGAUUAACCCUUCAUAGUAUUAUUGGAUGGCAUCAUUUGAUAAUUAAAACUGAGGUGGUAUAGGAUGGGCAUGCGUCUGAUUAGUUAGUUGGCGGGGUAAUGGCCCACCAAGACGAUGAUCAGUAGGGGUUCUGAGAGGAAGAUCCCCCACACUGGCACUGAGAUACGGGCCAGACUCCUACGGGAGCAGCAGUAGGGAAUAUUGGGUCAAUGGAUGCAAGUCUGAACCAGCCAUGCCGCGUGCAGGAAGAAGGGCCCUUUCUGGGGUUGUAAAACUGCUUUUUGCCAGGGGGAUAAAAAUUUCCAUGCGUGGAAAACUGAAGGUACCUGGUGAAUAAGCCACGGCUAACUACGUGCCAGCAGCCGCGGUAAU
This 508-nucleotide ribosomal RNA is filed under the name uncultured bacterium. RNAcentral describes it as "bacterial SSU rRNA". It matches the Rfam family "Bacterial small subunit ribosomal RNA", at positions 28 to 524 of the family's 1533-position model. The record is from RNAcentral.